This 253-nucleotide ribosomal RNA is filed under the name uncultured bacterium. RNAcentral's name for it is "partial 16S ribosomal RNA". It matches the Rfam family "Bacterial small subunit ribosomal RNA", at positions 524 to 776 of the family's 1533-position model. The record is from RNAcentral.
UACGUAGGGUGCGAGCGUUAAUCGGAAUUACUGGGCGUAAAGCGUGCGCAGGCGGCUUUGCAAGACAGAUGUGAGAUCCCCGGGCUCAACCUGGGAACUGCAUUUGUGACUGCAAGGCUAGAGUACGGCAGAGGGGGAUGGAAUUCCGCGUGUAGCAGUGAAAUGCGUAGAUAUGCGGAGGAACACCAAUGGCGAAGGCAAUCCCCUGGGCCUGUACUGACGCUCAUGCACGAAAGCGUGGGGAGCAAACAGG